This 437-nucleotide ribosomal RNA is filed under the name uncultured bacterium. RNAcentral describes it as "bacterial SSU rRNA". It matches the Rfam family "Bacterial small subunit ribosomal RNA", at positions 954 to 1392 of the family's 1533-position model. The record is from RNAcentral.
GCUAAACGCGAAGAACCUUACCUGGUCUUGACAUCCUCGGAACCCUGCAGAGAUGCGGGGGUGCCUUCGGGAGCCGAGAGACAGGUGCUGCAUGGCUGUCGUCAGCUCGUGUCGUGAGAUGUUGGGUUAAGUCCCGCAACGAGCGCAACCCUUGUCCCUAGUUGCCAUCAUUUGGUUGGGCACUUUAGUGGGACUGCCGGUGACAAACCGGAGGAAGGUGGGGAUGACGUCAAGUCCUCAUGGCCCUUAUGGGUAGGGCUUCACACGUCAUACAAUGGUCGGUACAGAGGGUUGCCAAGCCGCGAGGUGGAGCCAAUCCCAGAAAGCCGAUCGUAGUCCGGAUCGCAGUCUGCAACUCGACUGCGUGAAGUCGGAAUCGCUAGUAAUCGCGGAUCAGCAUGUCGCGGUGAAUACGUUCCCGGGUCUUGUACACACCG